GACGAACGCUGGCGGCGUGCUUAACACAUGCAAGUCGAACGAGAGGACAAGAGAAGCUUGCUUCUUUUGGAAUCGAGUGGCAAACGGGUGAGUAACACGUAAACAACCUGCCUUCAGGAUGGGGACAACAGACGGAAACGACUGCUAAUACCGAAUACGCUUGGGAGACCGCAUGAUCUUCCAAGGAAAGGGUGGCCUCUACUUGUAAGCUAUCGCCUGAAGAGGGGUUUGCGUCUGAUUAGGCAGUUGGUGAGGUAACGGCCCACCAAACCUACGAUCAGUAGCCGGUCUGAGAGGAUGAACGGCCACACUGGAACUGAGACACGGUCCAGACUCCUACGGAGGCAGCAGUGGGGAAUCUUCCGCAAUGGGCGAAAGCCUGACCGGAGCAACGCCGCGUGAGUGAUGACGGCCUCGGUUGU
RNAcentral lists this ribosomal RNA (422 nucleotides) under uncultured bacterium. RNAcentral's name for it is "bacterial SSU rRNA". It matches the Rfam family "Bacterial small subunit ribosomal RNA", at positions 28 to 426 of the family's 1533-position model. The record is from RNAcentral.